GGUCCUGUGGCUCAGUUGGCUAGAGCAUUCGGCUAAUAACCGAAAGGUCGUCGGUUCGAGCCCGACCAGGACCU
Vitrella brassicaformis is the source of this 74-nucleotide transfer RNA. It matches the Rfam family "tRNA". Rfam says of the family: Transfer RNA (tRNA) molecules are approximately 80 nucleotides in length. Lineage: Eukaryota; Vitrellaceae. The record is from Rfam.